UACGUAGGGUGCAAGCGUUAAUCGGAAUUACUGGGCGUAAAGCGUGCGCAGGCGGUUUGUUAAGUCCGAUGUGAAAGCCCUGGGCUCAACCUGGGAAUGGCAUUGGAUACUGGCAGGCUAGAGUGCGGUAGAGGGCAGUGGAAUUCCCGGUGUAGCAGUGAAAUGCGUAGAGAUCGGGAGGAACAUCUGUGGCGAAGGCGACUGCCUGGACCAGCACUGACACUGAGGCACGAAAGCGUGGGGAGCAAACAGG
RNAcentral lists this ribosomal RNA (253 nucleotides) under uncultured bacterium. RNAcentral describes it as "partial 16S ribosomal RNA". It matches the Rfam family "Bacterial small subunit ribosomal RNA", at positions 524 to 776 of the family's 1533-position model. The record is from RNAcentral.